CAUCAUAAAUGCCAUGUGAUAUUUUAGGUUGUUUGCAUUAGAAUUCACGAAUAUGUUGCAUUGCAUAUCUUGAUGUUGUUGUGGAUGGAUGUUGGAUGACCCAUUGGUCCUCAGUAUGAUGGGAUAUGAUAUGAUAUGUAAGACCAGGUGUGGCCUGCACUACGCCCCUGGCACUAUGUAAGGGAAAGACCGGGUGUGGCAUGCACUACGCCCCGGCACAGUUGG
Molecule: long non-coding RNA, 225 nt
Filed under: Manihot esculenta (cassava)
Lineage: Eukaryota; Viridiplantae; Streptophyta; Magnoliopsida; Malpighiales; Euphorbiaceae
Description: long non-coding RNA (MESC_LNC001546)
Source: RNAcentral